This is an RNA transcript of Carassius auratus (goldfish), 5302 nucleotides long. RefSeq lists it as uncharacterized. The transcript is spliced from 10 exons. NCBI's taxonomy places the organism in Eukaryota, Metazoa, Chordata, Actinopteri, Cypriniformes, Cyprinidae. The record is from RefSeq and is a predicted model, not a curated record.
CAUAUUCAGCUGUCUUAAAACAAACAUGGGUCACAGCCUGUAUAUAUUCACCUAGGUCCAUAACAACUAUAACUAUCUAGAAAAUAGCUUCCCAGAAAGAUAUGUCUGCAUUUGAACUGCUUUAAAAAAAUUAUUAGCUAUCCGGUUAACUUGAUAUCGAAUUCUAACAUUUAAAAGUGUAAUCUGGCAUUUGUCUUAUGAAAUCAAUUCUGUCAUCAGCAGCACGCAAUUAAUUUUGGGAUAGUCUGGGCUUGGUAACCAUCACAGCCUUCAGUCAGGGCAGCGCCAUAUUUCAUUUAUGAACGGAUGAAAACAAGGUUGUGAAGGAUACAAGUACAAUUCAGUGGAUCGAGCUGUUGUUUAACAGCAUACUGAUAGUUCAGCUGAUAAAACAUCUUUCUGGAAAGAAAGAACAAAAAAGAACAAGAACUACAUAAAACUUUUUUGAAAGUAGUGAGUAGUGAAAAUGACAUGAACUAGGAUCUUUAGACACUGUGUGCCACUGAAAAAACUGUUAGCCUGGUUUUAGUCCCCAUUAAAUUCAAAAGGGUGUCUAACCUGAUUAAGAUGGUCUUUAAAUUGUAGUGGAGUAUUUUGCAUGGGCAAACACUACUCAUGUAUUCUUCAGAUUAUUAUUAUGAAGUUUUAAAAGAUGAUAUCUGUCAGCUUAGACUGAGAUCUAGUUUAAGGCUCCUCCCAGCUGUUGGUAGUAAAGUAAUCUGGUGGUAAUCUUCUUAGCUCACACAACCUGCGCUCUGCGGUUGGAAGGUUUGUCCACAUUUCAUACAGACCAUUAACUGAAGAUGAUACAAUAGAGGCAUUAGCAAAUAUAACAUGCUGCUCCUGAAGGUGAGUGAAUACUGUACAGAUGAAGCCUAAUUAUCAUCGAUGCAUGGUUAUGCCUGUAUAUUCCAUUAAGCUGGAUGAGACCUUGUUUUUUUUUUUUAAAUGAUACCCGAGCAGGUUUGUAUUGAGACGGCAAAAUAUGACUACUUGUUGGAAAACACAGAUGAGCCUCUAUAUGCUCCAAAAAAAAACAGUACAACCUGAUAGAAGAGCCCCCGCUGAGCAGACUUCCCUGCGUGCUCACAUGUGUUUCUGAGCCCUUCGUUCAGCAGACAGACUGCACUUUUGAUCUUCCUCACCACAUCAUGUGGAACAAGAACAUUUACUCGGCUCCAGACACUGCAAGUGGCUCACAAAACGCCAAGAGAGAUACGAGACCAAGUGAUGCUACAGGCCUCAGAUGUGGUAAUACAGCAGCCGAGCGCACGUGUGUGCAAUGGAAAACCCCAGAGAGGCAUCUGACUGAGGAUUCCUCAUUAUCCGCAAUUUCAAAGAAAGACAUUCAGCUUAAUUCUGCAGACAUUGCUUAUAAGCCCCUUAAGGAUGCACUCGCUUUUCAAAGACACGAUGAAAGGCUUUCGUCCUCUACCUUUCAUGAGCUUCUCGAGUCCUCCUGGAUGUCUGCAAACUUGCAUUGCUAGAUGCUAAACUUCAACACAACUGAACGUGCAAUCAGCUUAUCUGUGUCCACCGCAGCGGUUUCCUCUCGCACUAAACCUGUUGUCUCUGACGGCCAAUGCAUCUAUAGAAGAAGUGAACGGUUUCAGUGCUGUAAUACAAGACUGGGAUCUAGUUACAACCCUAGAGUUUCUAUACACAGCAAAUCAAGGGAAUUUCCUUAAAAAAAAUCCCAUUUGCAUAAAAGAUAAAAGAGCUGAAAGACUUUGAGAAGCAAUCUUAAAUGCCUAAGCAAAUGAGCAAACCUCACGUUUGUUUUUGUUAACACUUAGGCUUUAGCGUAGCGUUAUUUUCAAAAUGUCACUCCCCGGACAUUUCAUUUUUGAACUACAGUCGUACAGUACAUACAACAACCAAAGUCAUUUAAUGUUGGCAAAUGUACAUUGGUCUGUUUCAGAUGUUCUUUAGCAGCACUCAGUGGAUGUUUCAUUUCUAAAGUGUUGCAAAACAAAUCAUUUUCCAUAAAUGUCGCCACAGAGGCAUGUGAUUCCACUGAACCUGAUUUCCUAAUCGCAUGGAUUUCUUUCAAGAAGAUUGCUUUUUUUUUUCUCAGAGUAAUUUCGCCAUACACAAGAUGCAACCACACCUUUAGAAGAUCCUUAUUUGAUCCCAUCGGGAUCUGUUUCCAUAAGGAAACCUCUUCACACUCCAGGUUUUGUUUUAAUAGGGUGUUUUGAAGGGAUAAUAUAUUUACAUUUAAUUUCAAAAACACAUUUUUAACAUAUUUCUUUUUAUUUGAUCUUUUUAUUUGAAAAGCUUGAUGUGGCACCAGAGGCUUAUGAUGACUCUGAUGAAAAGAAAAGAGAAGAAAGGUAAAGAAAACACAAGAUCUGUGUCAAGUGCCAGUGCUUGUGAAAGCGUUUCUGACUAUUCUGACAGAGCUGCUAUCACAAUAAUUAUCUAGCUUGCUGUGACAUGUACCUGUAGUUUUGGCCUCGGAGUAACAGGUAAAUUAAGAGCAUUCAGAACCCAUGUACUGUGUUAGGACUGAGAGUGAGAUUGCUGAUCUAGAGAAUGGGCCCUGAAUGGUCGCAGAUGUGAGGAUCUGUACAGGUUUCGUCUGCGGUUGCGCAGCCUGAGGAUGUGGACCAGUAGACUCCGGUUCCUCUCUCAAGCCUGCUGUCAUGACCGGAGACGGGCUCUGAGCAGAGCUCUGUACGCUCUGAGACGGGCCAUCUACAUGCGUCGUGCUCAAACUGAUGCAGUGGAGAGGAGGACAAGCGCUUUUCUGCUCUCUCACAGUUUUUACCAGUGGAAGAAUCACUAUGAGAGCAAACACCUGGAAAACACAUUCAACACAGCCGCUCUGAGAAAACGACUCGUUCCUCCCAGCCGUGCUUCAGUCCUGAGGACCACACGUUCCUCCUGUGAUUCAUCAUCAUCUGUGUGUACUGUACAAGCACUGGCUGCUCUGGAGGCAGGUGUGCUCGAGGUGGUCAUGUGUUCGGUGGGACAGGAGACUCCAGAGCAAAGCCUGGACCCUGUGGACAUCAACCUGGCAGAGGACACAGCUGUCCGCACAUCAGUUCAGGAUGCAUUUGUUAUCAUCAGCAUGGAAGGGCUUGAAGAUCAGGAACAGAGAGAUGAAGAUGGAGAAGUUGAUUCAGUCCAUUCAGAGGAGCCAGCUUCUUCACUCUUUCCAUCUCUGGAAGAAAAGAGCAGAAACCUGUCAAAACGACAGAGAGAAACGGUUCGUUUUGAGCCGACGCUCCCUGCUCUCCUGGUACUCCUGCGUUCAGAAGAACAAGCUAACACGAUUGAGCAGCAGAGCACGAUGGAUGCUUUCCAGAUGGACGUUAGCAGCAGCCUUCAGGAAGUGGAGAGAUGUCUCGGACAGGAAGCAGGACACCAGGAGAUGUCUGGAGAGAGUCCGCCUCCUGCAGGACAAGGGUAGAAUGCAGGCUGCGUUUGCAGUUUGGUGUCAAAGUGCUCGGGUAAGGAAGGAGUUAAGGAGAAUACGGGAGAAAUCACAGAGCUCAACUCUCCUGGUAAGUCAGCUUGUGUUCCUGUGCUUUCAUGUGACUGUUACACUCAGACAAGAUAUUCAGAUACUGGCAUUUAUACAAAAAAAAGUACUCUCUUCUCCGGGUGUGUGUGUUUAAAAACUGUGUGUGUGGGCACUUAGGAUGGUAUAAAUGCAGAGCACUAAUUCUGAGUAUGGGUCACCAUACUUAGCCACAUUGUAAUAGGUCCAGUGUGUUUUACACUGUUAGAAAAAAUUGUGAGAUAAAAAGUCACAAACAUUUUAUUUAUUUAAUUUUUUAUUCAGUGGCAGAAACGGGCUUCCAUAGUUAACAGUUGCAUGGAAAACACACAGUUAUACGUUACAUUUCCAGUCAUUAAAAUUAUUAUUCAGUCUUGUUUUUAUGAAAACCUUGAACUGUUAACUGAUCCAAAAUCCGAGCCUUAAGAUGUAUUGAUCGAUUGCUGUAAUGAAGAAUCAGCAAUGCUUUUAUAAAAUCUUGCCUUGUUCUUACGUGCCUCUAAAGUGUUACAUUAAUAACAGCUGAUGCAUCCUUCUUGCAUCAGAGCACUUGAUAUGAAGCAAAGAUUUGAAGUUGAGCCGUUGUGCACUAUUUAUGCCAGCAUGUUUUGUCAGGUGUUUGUCAGCGUGGAGCGCCCUGGUUCAGCGCAGUGCAUUACUUCUGUGUUACUGUCAUCAGAGAAAGGUGCUGGCACUCAAGACGUGCUUUCGGCACUGGAGCAGAUCUCGACAGCUGCAUGCUCUUCUCAAGCAUUUCCUCAUCCAGCAGUUUCAUUCAAGACAGAGACACACAGUGCUGAAAUGGAGAACAGGUAUUUCAGCAGAAGGACUAUCUGCCAGGCUCCUGCUCCACAACACUCUUCAGAAGUGGACAGAGAUAUUAGAGAAACACCGGCUGGCUAAAUCUCACAGAUCCGCUCAUGAUCGAGCUGUUCAGCGGGCUGUUCUUCUGGAGUGGGACAGACACACUCAGGCUGCUUUCUCUGAGCGAGUUCUGCUCUUCACAGACAGACUGGCUCAUCUUCAUCCGUCCUCCUCUGUCUCGUCCUGCUCAGAUCCACUGAUGUCCACCGCUGCGCCACAGUAUGAGCGCUGUGUGCUGCAGAGAGCCUGGCUCACCUGGAGAAAGAGACACAUCAGGAACAGAGUAUCUGCUGAUCACGCAGCCGCCGUUAACACCACGCCGUUAUCUCAGGUGUUGCAGGUGUGGUGGCAGCUUGCCCACAGGACAGACUCUGAGUCCUAACCAGUUCAGAUGAGUGAAGAUCAUAUCAGACUGCAGAAACUCACACACACCCAUUUACCCUGUCUAUUCAACAGGAGUACAACAACACAUUACAAACACUCCCUACCGUCCACUCUGGAAUGUUUUUCAAUGUUGGUUUAACACUGUUUGCAUUAGAUGAACAGUGUGUAGGGCCAAAUAUGAACACGUGCAGCUAGUCCGAGCUAAAUUGUGAUUGAUUUCAGGUGAGACUGAUAUCUUUGUCAUUUUGACUGGUUGGUCCACCUAACUCUGAUAUUAGUGCACAGGUGUGGAUAAAUAUCUCCAGAAGAAUGAGAUAUGCCGGCGGUUCAGAGGGUUGACUUAUGUAACGGCCCUAUAGUGAGUUCAGUAUGAGUGUGUGUCGGGAUACUGACUCCUCCUCUCAUGUGCAACGACAACUGGAAGAACCAAGAGUGUGUUCAGUGUUUUAUUAGUAUGCACUUAGCUUGCAGAGGUACUAAGCAUUUUUUAUGUACAAUAUAAGUUUUGGUUUAGAAUAUUUUCCAUACCACUUUUGUACAUUUUUU